This is a long non-coding RNA of Coccinella septempunctata (seven-spotted ladybird), 301 nucleotides long. RefSeq lists it as uncharacterized. The transcript has 3 exons. Lineage: Eukaryota; Metazoa; Arthropoda; Insecta; Coleoptera; Coccinellidae. The record is from RefSeq and is a predicted model, not a curated record.
UCAGAGCAACCAGUAUGGCAAAGAUGCUGUUUGAGAUGUGUUAGCGCUGACGGGAGAGUCUGUUGGUUAGGUUAGUUAGUGUACGAUUAACUAACCUUCGUUUCGACCUAUAUUUUUGUUGAACUGGUUAGUUGUUUUAGUGCUGUUUUGAUUGUUCGCGUUGUUUUCCUCACCACCUUCUGUUCUGGAUAUUCGUUAGCAUUUUACCUGGCACGAAAUUGUCCGGGUUUUGGAUUUUGAUUGGAACAUUUCUGCUUUCAAUUCUUCCAAAAAUCAGAUUUUUGACAAUAUACUCAUUGAG